This 397-nucleotide unclassified non-coding RNA is filed under the name Scleria dregeana. RNAcentral describes it as "partial external transcribed spacer 1". The record is from RNAcentral. Lineage: Eukaryota; Viridiplantae; Streptophyta; Magnoliopsida; Poales; Cyperaceae.
AUAUUUUGCUUGGCUGGUGCGAUCAAUGGGUUGUUGCCUGUGUUGCUACUAUUUUUGGGAAAAUGUUUGUUUUGUGACUACGGCAUGCCAUGUUGCCUUCGAUUAUGAUUUUGAGAAAGUUGCGUUGGCUAUUGAAACAUCGGCUUUGUUCGGGAGCGAUCGAUGGGUCUCGACUCGUCCGCAGCUCCCGUCAUAUUAUAUGAGCAGCUCUUUUGGAUACGGUAGCUAUGCGGGUUCUUGUGGUCCUCUUCGGUCCGCAUGCAACCUCGUAGUACACACCCGUAACAGUUCAUUGUACGUGGGAGUUCUAUGAUAUAUUAGUGAUUGCGUUGCGUGCUUGCGGAGUUGCAUUCCGUCCGGGAGUGCUUCAGCAGCUCGCAUGCUCACUUUUUUGACU